This 1367-nucleotide ribosomal RNA is filed under the name Staphylococcus aureus. RNAcentral describes it as "bacterial SSU rRNA". It matches the Rfam family "Bacterial small subunit ribosomal RNA", at positions 173 to 1528 of the family's 1533-position model. The record is from RNAcentral. Lineage: Bacteria; Bacillati; Bacillota; Bacilli; Caryophanales; Staphylococcaceae. RNAcentral also lists the same sequence under 11 other names.
AUAUUUUGAACCGCAUGGUUCAAAAGUGAAAGACGGUCUUGCUGUCACUUAUAGAUGGAUCCGCGCUGCAUUAGCUAGUUGGUAAGGUAACGGCUUACCAAGGCAACGAUGCAUAGCCGACCUGAGAGGGUGAUCGGCCACACUGGAACUGAGACACGGUCCAGACUCCUACGGGAGGCAGCAGUAGGGAAUCUUCCGCAAUGGGCGAAAGCCUGACGGAGCAACGCCGCGUGAGUGAUGAAGGUCUUCGGAUCGUAAAACUCUGUUAUUAGGGAAGAACAUAUGUGUAAGUAACUGUGCACAUCUUGACGGUACCUAAUCAGAAAGCCACGGCUAACUACGUGCCAGCAGCCGCGGUAAUACGUAGGUGGCAAGCGUUAUCCGGAAUUAUUGGGCGUAAAGCGCGCGUAGGCGGUUUUUUAAGUCUGAUGUGAAAGCCCACGGCUCAACCGUGGAGGGUCAUUGGAAACUGGAAAACUUGAGUGCAGAAGAGGAAAGUGGAAUUCCAUGUGUAGCGGUGAAAUGCGCAGAGAUAUGGAGGAACACCAGUGGCGAAGGCGACUUUCUGGUCUGUAACUGACGCUGAUGUGCGAAAGCGUGGGGAUCAAACAGGAUUAGAUACCCUGGUAGUCCACGCCGUAAACGAUGAGUGCUAAGUGUUAGGGGGUUUCCGCCCCUUAGUGCUGCAGCUAACGCAUUAAGCACUCCGCCUGGGGAGUACGACCGCAAGGUUGAAACUCAAAGGAAUUGACGGGGACCCGCACAAGCGGUGGAGCAUGUGGUUUAAUUCGAAGCAACGCGAAGAACCUUACCAAAUCUUGACAUCCUUUGACAACUCUAGAGAUAGAGCCUUCCCCUUCGGGGGACAAAGUGACAGGUGGUGCAUGGUUGUCGUCAGCUCGUGUCGUGAGAUGUUGGGUUAAGUCCCGCAACGAGCGCAACCCUUAAGCUUAGUUGCCAUCAUUAAGUUGGGCACUCUAAGUUGACUGCCGGUGACAAACCGGAGGAAGGUGGGGAUGACGUCAAAUCAUCAUGCCCCUUAUGAUUUGGGCUACACACGUGCUACAAUGGACAAUACAAAGGGCAGCGAAACCGCGAGGUCAAGCAAAUCCCAUAAAGUUGUUCUCAGUUCGGAUUGUAGUCUGCAACUCGACUACAUGAAGCUGGAAUCGCUAGUAAUCGUAGAUCAGCAUGCUACGGUGAAUACGUUCCCGGGUCUUGUACACACCGCCCGUCACACCACGAGAGUUUGUAACACCCGAAGCCGGUGGAGUAACCUUUUAGGAGCUAGCCGUCGAAGGUGGGACAAAUGAUUGGGGUGAAGUCGUAACAAGGUAGCCGUAUCGGAAGGUGCGGCUGGAUCACCU